GGUGCGGUUUCCUGUAAGUCGGCCCGUGUGGCUGAGGGUCACUCCGCGCGGGCACUGCAGCUUUUGUCAGCAUCUGGACACCUGCCU
Loxodonta africana (African savanna elephant) is the source of this 87-nucleotide non-coding RNA. NCBI's taxonomy places the organism in Eukaryota, Metazoa, Chordata, Mammalia, Proboscidea, Elephantidae. The record is from Rfam.